This 72-nucleotide transfer RNA is filed under the name Camelus bactrianus (Bactrian camel). It matches the Rfam family "tRNA". Rfam says of the family: Transfer RNA (tRNA) molecules are approximately 80 nucleotides in length. Lineage: Eukaryota; Metazoa; Chordata; Mammalia; Artiodactyla; Camelidae. RNAcentral also lists the same sequence under 2 other names. The record is from Rfam by way of RNAcentral.
GAGGGUAUAGCUGAGUGGUAGAGAGUGUGCUUAGCAUGCACAAGAUCCUGGGUUCAAUCCCCAGAACUUCCA